RNAcentral lists this ribosomal RNA (453 nucleotides) under uncultured bacterium. Its description in RNAcentral is "bacterial SSU rRNA". It matches the Rfam family "Bacterial small subunit ribosomal RNA", at positions 340 to 786 of the family's 1533-position model. The record is from RNAcentral.
UACGGAAGGCAGCAGUGGGGAAUAUUGCACAAUGGGCGCAAGCCUGAUGCAGCUAUGCCGCGUGUAUGAAGAAGGCCUUCGGGUUGUAAAGUACUUUCAGUCGUGAGGAAGGUGUUAAGGUUAAUAACCUUAGCAAUUGACGUUAGCGACAGAAGAAGCACCGGCUAACUCCGUGCCAGCAGCCGCGGUAAUACGGAGGGUGCGAGCGUUAAUCGGAAUUACUGGGCGUAAAGGGCACGCAGGCGGUUAAUUAAGUUGGAUGUGAAAUCCCCGGGCUUAACCUGGGAAUGGCAUUCAAGACUGGUUAGCUAGAGUCUUGUAGAGGGGGUAGAAUUCCAUGUGUAGCGGUGAAAUGCGUAGAGAUGUGGAGGAAUACCGGUGGCGAAGGCGGCCCCUGGACAAAGACUGACGCUCAUGUGCGAAAGCGUGGGGAGCAAACAGGGAUUAGAUACC